This is a non-coding RNA of Saimiri boliviensis boliviensis (Bolivian squirrel monkey), 913 nucleotides long. NCBI's taxonomy places the organism in Eukaryota, Metazoa, Chordata, Mammalia, Primates, Cebidae. The record is from RefSeq and is a predicted model, not a curated record.
UAAGAUCCUGAGGAGGCAGGAGAGAGACAGGGAAGGAGUAUGGGUAGGGGCAGGGGGGGCCCUGGCCUCCAAUUCCUCCUUCGCUUGCCUCCUGGAGCCUCGAGGGGUCUCAGGCAGCAUCAUCCCAGUCUACUGUAUCCUCCUGGGCACUGUGGUCCUCGGUCUGCUUGCCUACGUGGCCUUCAAGUGCUGGUGCUCACAUAAGCAAAGACAGCAGCUGGCUAAAGCUUGAACUGCAGAGCUGGGAGGGCUCAACAACGACCAGAUGCAUGGGGAUAGCAGUGUCUUCCUGGACUCUCCUAGCAGUCUAGAGUCCUGUGCCUCCAGCCAGGGACCACAUCCUGAGCUUGGCUGCGACUUUAUCAUCUUCCUCGGUGGCACCAGGAUAAAGUGGAGCGGCUGAGGAAUGUCAGAUGAACCUGACAAGGGCUGGUGGGGACUGGCAGGCUGUCUGGGCCACUGGGCUGAGGCUGCAGAAACCAUGGCCCAGGGCCAGGUGCAAGCCUACACUCUGCUGAGGGACUGGGCUAUCCAAGAAGGCAGUGGUACCACCCUCAAGGUGCUACAGAAUGCCCUGGUUGCCAAGGGCCAUGAAGAUGUGGUCCAGGUCCUGGGCCCCCCAGCUGAGGGCUGCUCUGUGGUGUGAGUGCUGCCCCCGUAGCCUACCCUGGUGCUCCCCUACCUCUGUCUCAGAUACCUUCCCCUUCGUGGGCUUCCUGGGGUUGCUGGCCUCAGCCUGCUCUGUUCUGGGAAAGAACACCGAAGAUUAAGCCGCCGUUCACUUCCCCUCACCCACCCAUCCCCUCCAGAAGAGGGCAGUGAGGGGUGGUCCUACCCUUUGGAUCCCUACUCCACCUCCCCUUAUUAAGCCUCGGCUGGAUUUGCUACUUUUGUAUCCCAUAUUAAAGGUGAU